UACGGAGGGAGCUAGCGUUGUUCGGAAUUACUGGGCGUAAAGCGCGCGUAGGCGGCUUUGUAAGUUAGAGGUGAAAGCCCGGAGCUCAACUCCGGAACUGCCUUUAAAACUGCAUCGCUUGAAUCCAGGAGAGGUGAGUGGAAUUCCGAGUGUAGAGGUGAAAUUCGUAGAUAUUCGGAAGAACACCAGUGGCGAAGGCGACUUACUGGUCCAUGACUGACGCUGAGGCUCGAAAGCGUGGGGAGCAAACAGG
Molecule: ribosomal RNA, 253 nt
Filed under: uncultured bacterium
Lineage: Bacteria
Description: partial 16S ribosomal RNA
Rfam family: Bacterial small subunit ribosomal RNA
Source: RNAcentral